Long non-coding RNA from Cyprinus carpio carpio, 2063 nucleotides. The record is from Ensembl. NCBI's taxonomy places the organism in Eukaryota, Metazoa, Chordata, Actinopteri, Cypriniformes, Cyprinidae.
UUGGAAUUCAGUUUUAGUAGUGUUUAUUGACCAAAAUACAUAAUAUAUGUACAUGUAGUGACAUUACAUUUAAACAAAAUAAGUUAAACAAUAUGACAAGGAAGAGUCAGAACCAUAUUUUUUAAUACAUGUCAUGUUAUAAGAAAAUUAGAUAUAUCAGGUAUGGCAUUCUUAUUACUUAUUUUUUUAGAUAACUCUGAACACUGUUUAAAAAUUAAAUAAAUAACUGGAAAAAACUGUCCCAUUGUGGCAGUGUAGGUAUGGAGGGAAAAGGAAAAAUGGGACAGAGUAUCAACAUCUAAACUUGCCUGGUAAGACACAAAUCAGAGGAUUUUACUGCAGCGGAGAGGCAGAGGAAAGGAUCUGAUGUCAUGUGACUGCAGAAGAGAUGAAAGCAGAAUGACAGAAUUAAAGUGGUUAUUUUUUCAGGAGAAAGUUCUUGAAGGAAACUGUUUAAAGGGUCUAUUAGUAAAGGAUAAAGUGCAAGCAGAGGUUCAAAGAGUCACUGUCAGAACCAAGCAUCAACAUCCAAAUGGAUUUUUGAGACAACUCUGUCAGUUUAUGUUUUAUAUAGACAAAAACAGCUGCAAUAUUCUUCUAAAUAUCUUCUUCUGUGAUCGUUUGUCUCAUAUAGGUUUGGAACGACCAGUAAAAGAUGACAGUUCAACAUGCCCCUGAAAUUACAAAUUGAAUAGAAAAUGCAUGAUUUCCUUCUUCCCAUUCAGAAUACAACCAAAUGUUUUACUGAGUCAUGCCUGCAGAUAGAUUUUCCUUUUUUUUUCAUAAAUUUGUCAUAUAAGUUGUCCCAUCAGUAUGUUUUAUUUAUAUCUCUUCUUUAUUAUUUACUUGUUUAAACCACAUAAAGAUUUUGACUUUUCUUUGCACAUUCCAUCGUAGGAUGCAUAAUGACCUGGAAAAUAAGUAAAAUGGGUAUUAAAUCAGUAAAACACACACACACACACACAAAUCAUUUUAUAAAUUUUACUGACUGGCAUUACUUCCUCUUUGCCACGGCGAACAGGAAAGGUGAACUGUGUAGGUGCACUCUAAUUAGUGCUUGUCACACAGAUCUCGGGUGUCAUGCACACAAUAAGAUGCAAGAAAAGGAGGAUGAACUGAUCGCUGAAUAGCACAUUACACAUUAGAGGGUAUGGGAGUAAGAAGGAAUUACUUUUGUGACAUUCAUGAAGGCAUUUGGACAUAACAGGGUGGGGUUCAGAACUUUACUGAUGGCUUCUUUUAAUUAUAUUUCCUUUUAUUAUUAUCAAGCAGUCUCAUCCGGUCUUCCUGUUUUAAAUCAUUAACUUGAUUUAUUAAAAAGCAUUUAAACAUUCUAAAGUCAAAAUAUUCUACAUUCCAUAGUUGAUCACAUUUUAAUUUUUUUAAAAGCAUUUUAUAUUCCUUUUUCUAUUAAAGUCAUGGUCACUGAGCCCCCAGAGUGCAUCGUUACCAGACAGUGUUAGAACAUCAGUGAACAGCCAAGCACUGCCAGGUGCACGCCCUGGUCUGCCUCCUUGGAAACCAUGACUUUUGAGACGUCUCCAUGACCUGGGAGAGUUUGACUAAUUGGUUGCACCUUCAUCAAAACAAAAUUGCGUCUACAGCCUCCCAAUCCCAUUACAGCCACACAACAUAGAUGGUAAGGAAAGCGCUUAGUCAUGCUAAUCAAAAUGGCUGAUCUUUGUCACCUAUACCUGAGUGUGCACCUGACUGACCCCUCACCUGUACAAUAGAUUCGAUAAGAUUCGAUUAGAUAACUCGCUUACUUCUGAAACCAAGCUAAGUGUGUUUUUACAUUUUGCCUCUAUUGUUGUUUAAUGCCAAAACUCACAGUAACAUUAAAGAUAUCAAUUUUAUCAGGCCAUAUUUUCUCUGCCCUGUACCUUUUUAUUACAACAAGAAAAAUAUUUAAUUUUAAUACGGGAAAAAUAGUUUGUAUGAGAUUGUAUCAGAGCAUGGGUCCAUGUGUCAAUCAAUUUUAAAAGUCAUUCAUCAAUUUCUCACAUCCAAGUCUAAUUCAUGUUUAAUUUAUAUAAUACAACUCUAUAUUAUAACAUUAAAAA